GAUCCUGGCUCAGGACGAACGCUGGAGGCGUGCUUAACACAUGCAAGUCGAACGAGAGGACAAGAGAAGCUUGCUUCUUUUGGAAUCGAGUGGCAAACGGGUGAGUAACACGUAAACAACCUGCCUUCAGGAUGGGGACAACAGACGGAAACGACUGCUAAUACCGAAUACGCUUGGGAGACCGCAUGAUCUACCAAGGAAAGGGUGGCCUCUACCUGUAAGCUAUCGCCUGAAGAGGGGUUUGCGU
This 247-nucleotide ribosomal RNA is filed under the name uncultured bacterium. Its description in RNAcentral is "partial 16S ribosomal RNA". It matches the Rfam family "Bacterial small subunit ribosomal RNA", at positions 15 to 236 of the family's 1533-position model. The record is from RNAcentral.